This 455-nucleotide ribosomal RNA is filed under the name uncultured bacterium. Its description in RNAcentral is "bacterial SSU rRNA". It matches the Rfam family "Bacterial small subunit ribosomal RNA", at positions 346 to 793 of the family's 1533-position model. The record is from RNAcentral.
AGGCAGCAGUAAGGAAUUUUGCGCAAUGGCCGCAAGGCUGACGCAGCAACGCCGCGUGGGUGAAGAAGGCCUUCGGGUCGUAAAGCCCUGUCAGGUGGGAAGAACGACACGGGGAGGAAUAUGCUCUGUGAGUGACGGUACCACCAGAGGAAGCACCGGCUAACUCCGUGCCAGCAGCCGCAGUAAUACGGAGGGUGCGAGCGUUAUUCGGAAUUACUGGGCGUAAAGCGCGUGUAGGCGGCCAACCAAGUCUGAUGUGAAAGCCCUGGGCUUAACUGGGAAGUGCAUUGGAAACUGGCUGGCUUGAGUACUGGAGAGGAAGGGGGAAUUCCCGGUGUAGAGGUGAAAUUCGUAGAGAUCGGGAGGAAUACCAGUGGCGAAGGCGCCCUUCUGGACGGUUACUGACGCUGAGACGCGAAAGCGUGGGGAGCAAACAGGAUUAGAUACCCCGGUAG